This 774-nucleotide ribosomal RNA is filed under the name uncultured Neocallimastigales. RNAcentral describes it as "partial large subunit ribosomal RNA". It matches the Rfam family "Eukaryotic large subunit ribosomal RNA", at positions 22 to 639 of the family's 3401-position model. The record is from RNAcentral. Lineage: Eukaryota; Fungi; Neocallimastigomycota; Neocallimastigomycetes; Neocallimastigales.
GUACACGCUGUGACUAGCAUAUCAAUAAGCGGAGGAAAAGAAACUAACAAGGAUUCCCCUAGUAACGGCGAGUGAAGCGGGAAGAGCUCAAAUUUGAAAUCUUAAAGGGUUUCCCUUUACGAAUUGUAGUUUAAAGAAGUGUUUUCUGUUGAGGUUUUGGUAAAAGUUCUUUGGAAUAGGACAUCAUAGAGGGUGAGAAUCCCGUAUUUGACCUUUACUUUCAACUUUGUGAUACACUUUCAAAGAGUCGGAUUGUUUGGGAAUGCAGUCCAAAAUGGGUGGUAAAUUUCAUCUAAAGCUAAAUAUUGGCGAGAGACCGAUAGCGAACAAGUACCGUGAGGGAAAGAUGAAAAGAACUUUGAAAAGAGAGUUAAACAGUACGUGAAAUUGUCAAAAGGGAAGCGUUUGACACCAGUGUUGUUUUUCUGAAAAUCAAUUAAAGAACUGUUUAUGCUAAGUUGUUUAGACUUUAUCAGCUAUCUGUUUAGUUUUGAGCUUUUCUUUAAUGCACUUUUCAGUUAACAAGUCAACAUCAAUUUCUUUUGCUGUAAAAAAGCUUGAGGAAGGUGGCUUGAGAUUCGUCUUAAGUGUUUAUAGCCUCUUGCCUAUGCAGUCGGAGAGAUUGAGGUCUGCAGCGUAGAUCCUUCGGGGCUAAAUGCAUUUGUGCCAAGUUAUAGCAUUUUAUAGACAACUUGUUGACUAUGAUUUGUCUUGUAGCUUACUCGCUUAUGUUAUUUUACCUACGCUUAGGAUGUUGAUAUGCAUGACUGAUAU